RNAcentral lists this long non-coding RNA (332 nucleotides) under Malus domestica (apple). Its description in RNAcentral is "long non-coding RNA (MDOM_LNC014096)". The record is from RNAcentral. Lineage: Eukaryota; Viridiplantae; Streptophyta; Magnoliopsida; Rosales; Rosaceae.
CACCUUCUCUCCCAAAUGGACCGGCCAUGCACUAUAUAUUCAACCUCAUUUCCUCUAAAAACCUAGUUCUUGACUCUUGCUAAACACUCAAAAAUUCCCCAAACACUUUUCUCUCAAAAUUCUAACUUUGGCAUCGGAGGUUAUUCGGCCAAAGCCCCCCUCAUUCAUCGUGGGCACGUGAGACUCUUGGCCUUGACCAAAGAUGUUAUUUAUUUUGUAGGUGCAAUUUUGUCCAAAAUCAAGGAGGAAGAAAUUUGCAUCCACAACAAUAUAUGUCGAUUAUAUAAACCUAGUUGGAACCCCUGAAGAACUCAAUAAAACUGCUAAAUAUC